This 497-nucleotide ribosomal RNA is filed under the name uncultured bacterium. RNAcentral's name for it is "partial 16S ribosomal RNA". It matches the Rfam family "Bacterial small subunit ribosomal RNA", at positions 28 to 507 of the family's 1533-position model. The record is from RNAcentral.
GAUGAACGCUGGCGGCGUGCCUAAUACAUGCAAGUAGAACGCUGAAGGAAGGAGCUUGCUCUUUCCGGAUGAGUUGCGAACGGGUGAGUAACGCGUAGGUAACCUGCCUGGUAGCGGGGGAUAACUAUUGGAAACGAUAGCUAAUACCGCAUAACAGUAGAUGUUGCAUGAUAUCUACUUAAAAGGUGCAAUUGCACCACUACCAGAUGGACCUGCGUUGUAUUAGCUAGUUGGUGAGGUAACGGCUCACCAAGGCGACGAUACAUAGCCGACCUGAGAGGGUGAUCGGCCACACUUGGACUGAGACACGGCCCAGACUCCUACGGGAGGCAGCAGUAGGGAAUCUUCGGCAAUGGACGGAAGUCUGACCGAGCAACGCCGCGUGAGUGAAGAAGGUUUUCGGAUCGUAAAGCUCUGUUGUAAGAGAAGAACGAGUGUGAGAGUGGAAAGUUCACACUGUGACGGUAUCUGACCAGAAAGGGACGGCUAACUACGUG